RNAcentral lists this ribosomal RNA (411 nucleotides) under uncultured actinomycete. Its description in RNAcentral is "bacterial SSU rRNA". It matches the Rfam family "Bacterial small subunit ribosomal RNA", at positions 485 to 894 of the family's 1533-position model. Lineage: Bacteria; Bacillati; Actinomycetota; Actinomycetes; Actinomycetales. The record is from RNAcentral.
AAGAAGCGCCGGCUAACUACGUGCCAGCAGCCGCGGUAAUACGUAGGGCGCAGCGCUGUCCGGAAUUAUUGGGCGUAAAGAGCUCGUAGGCGGCCUGUUGCGUCCGCUGUGAAAUCCCAGGGCUUAACCCUGGGCGUGCAGUGGAUACGGGCAGGCUGGAGGCAGGCAGGGGAGAACGGAAUUCCCGGUGUAGCGGUGAAAUGCGCAGAUAUCGGGAGGAACACCGGUGGCGAAGGCGGUUCUCUGGGGCCUGUUCUGACGCUGAGGAGCGAAAGCGUGGGGAGCAAACAGGAUUAGAUACCCUGGUAGUCCACGCCGUAAAGGUUGGGCGCUAGGUGUGGGUCCCNUCCACGGGGUGCUGUGCCGCAGCUAACGCAUUAAGCGCCCCGCCUGGGGAGUACGGCCGAAGGC